This 495-nucleotide ribosomal RNA is filed under the name uncultured bacterium. RNAcentral describes it as "partial 16S ribosomal RNA". It matches the Rfam family "Bacterial small subunit ribosomal RNA", at positions 28 to 507 of the family's 1533-position model. The record is from RNAcentral.
GACGAACGCUGGCGGCGUGCCUAAUACAUGCAAGUAGAACGCUGAAGGAGGAGCUUGCUUCUCUGGAUGAGUUGCGAACGGGUGAGUAACGCGUAGGUAACCUGCCUGGUAGCGGGGGAUAACUAUUGGAAACGAUAGCUAAUACCGCAUAAGAGUAGAUGUUGCAUGACAUUUGCUUAAAAGGUGCAAUUGCAUCACUACCAGAUGGACCUGCGUUGUAUUAGCUAGUUGGUGGGGUAACGGCUCACCAAGGCGACGAUACAUAGCCGACCUGAGAGGGUGAUCGGCCACACUGGGACUGAGACACGGCCCAGACUCCUACGGGAGGCAGCAGUAGGGAAUCUUCGGCAAUGGACGGAAGUCUGACCGAGCAACGCCGCGUGAGUGAAGAAGGUUUUCGGAUCGUAAAGCUCUGUUGUAAGAGAAGAACGAGCGUGAGAGUGGAAAGUUCACACUGUGACGGUAUCUUACCAGAAAGGGACGGCUAACUACGUG